ACGCGGACAGAGUCUCUCCUGUAUUUACACGGCAUCGCACAAGUACAAGAUAUACGAUACCAAAUACAACCACCACAUAUGAACAUCCACAUAUCCAUACACCAUUCACAUUCAUAUUUAUUUCAUCAUAAAUUUCUAUAAAUCCACAUCUAUCAGUUUAAAAUGUUUCCUAUCCGAAAACUCGUUUUAAAACACGUAGUCAUGAAAACCAAGAAAAACCUUUUUAAAAACUGUUUCCUAUACGGAAACCUUUUCCUUUUAAAACUCGCUACCACGAGGGGUGGAAAAUCAUUUUCAGUUUACAAGAAUUCCAAAUCCUUUAUUGCAUUCACGAAACCCAAAAAUUUAAUUCACAUAAAAUACUGAACCAUAAAUGCUGUCUAAGUUAUUUAUUUA
This 396-nucleotide long non-coding RNA is filed under the name Ananas comosus (pineapple). RNAcentral's name for it is "long non-coding RNA (ACOM_LNC017699)". Lineage: Eukaryota; Viridiplantae; Streptophyta; Magnoliopsida; Poales; Bromeliaceae. The record is from RNAcentral.